AGCAACAGCGCAUGUGUGGAAGCCUCGGGUAUCAGAGGACCAUCCCUCGAUCUAGUCUGCUAUAUGUAUCUAUGGUCUGAACGCCUGCGAGCAUCUCUGGCUGCUGCUGACCUGGUUUUUGGAGUAAAACACGGUGGAAGCUGAAUUAGUGAGGAUGACUCCUGCUCCUGUCAUCUCUAAGCUCCUCCCACAUCUUUACCUGCACAUGAGGAAAAUCACUCCUGUAGAAUGCAGAUGUUCAGAGGGAGAUGAUGCCACAUCUGGUCCAGCUGAUGGAAGGUCUUGAAGUUCUCUGACUGGCCUCGACUGAAGAUGGUCGUCUCACUGGAUUUAAGGUUCAGAUGCUCAGUAACAAACUCCACCAAUGAGCCAACAGGGAAGCUUUAGGUUUAUUAAAUGUUGCUAUGAAGGUU
Molecule: long non-coding RNA, 413 nt
Organism: Amphiprion ocellaris (clown anemonefish)
Lineage: Eukaryota; Metazoa; Chordata; Actinopteri; Pomacentridae
Exons: 3
Source: RefSeq, a predicted model, not a curated record